GUGUCAGCCGCCGCGGUAACCCCAGCGCCACAAGUGGGAGCCACAAUUAUUUGGCCUAAAGCGUCCGUAGCUGGCUUAGUAAAUCUUUUGUGAAAUCGGAAAGCUCAACUUUUCGGCGUGCAGAAGACACUGCUAUGCUUGAGACCGGGAGGGGUAAGGAGUAUUUCUAGGGAACCGGUAAAAUGGGAUAAUCCUAGAAAGACUACCUGUGGCGAAGGCGCCUUACCAGCACGGGUCUGACAGUGAGGGACGAAGGCUAGGGGAGCGAACCGGAUUAGAAACCCUGGUAGUCC
Molecule: ribosomal RNA, 293 nt
Filed under: uncultured bacterium
Lineage: Bacteria
Description: partial 16S ribosomal RNA
Rfam family: Archaeal small subunit ribosomal RNA
Source: RNAcentral